AACAAUUAAGGGGACUUGUCCUGCCAUGUUGUUACUCAGAACUGAAAACGCCCUCUGGAUUCAUGUUUCCUCAUUUCCCGGCCAGCUCAUUCCACCAAAUGACAUGAUUAUGUGACGCCGCUAUGUCAGGUUGUCAAACAGGAAGUUUUACCAUAAAGGAUUAUACUUGUGGUGGGAUAUAGAGAGGAAACUCUGUGCUUCCAAACCAUCAAGAACACUUGAGUGGCAUCGGUUUCCUCCAACACAUAUCACUAUAUAUGAAGAUGUCACCUAAGAGAGGACACCAGCUAGAUAUUGCUGACCUUCUGAUUGCCUGACUGCCAUGUAAAUACCUGGGAAGGGCCAGAUUAAAUGGUCAUUGAUGCGUGAGAAUUUCCUAAGUGAAAGAAAUGAAGAAAGAAGAGUAAUAUCAUCUUGGAAGUCUUUGUAAACUAUUUAGAGAAAAAUAGUACAGCUGACUCUUGAACAACAUGGGUUUGAACUCUAUGGGUCUAUACUUACACUUGGAUGCAGAGAGCAAGAUGGAAUCACUCGUGUCAAGCAGCCAAGGGUGGUGCAGCUCCGACCAGAUAGCGCCCAAACCAGCACAGGCUAAUGACACCCAGAACGGAUAACAAGUAGAACCAGAGCAGGUUUGCUAAGGCCAAAGCAGGAUUAAAUUCCUUUAUAGAAGAGAGAUUUUUGCAGCAAACUGCCAGACUCUCCUGACACUGACCCUUUCAGGUCUCACCACAUCAAAAAGGCAACUGCCACAGAAGGCUCUACCCAACUGAUGUUGGAACAUAACAGAGAUUCUCCACGGCUUGAACAUAAUUAGCUGCACAGGGUGAGAGCCGACCCUGACCUGACGGAGACCCCAUCUCAACAGUGUGCUCAUGGAUGGACUUCGAGUUGAGUUCGUUAGCUUCUUACUCCUUGUUGGAUCUUGUUUGUUGUGUGACUUUAUAUGGUCCUGUGCUUUGUGUGAUGUGUAUGAAGCCAAGUUAAAUGCCGAGUGACAGGUCUUUGAGUUUGGAAUCCUGAAGCCGCUUUGCAAUUACAUUAGCCUUGCUUUAUCAUUGAAUGAAGCUGACACUAUGGAAAGACACAACUUGUGUGUGUGCCUUCAUAGCGUGCUCCACAAUAGGAUUGCUUCUGCACAUCGUGGAAGAGGGUGAGGUCACCACUCUGCUUUUGCUUCUUCAAGAGAUGCUGGGGUGCCCUUGUGUUUCUCUUUUGUCAGCACAAAAGGAGUGAGGAAGUGACAUAUGCCCUCUUGAGCUCCAUUGUCACGUUGGAAAUAGAAGCCCAGAGAGAGGUGGUAUAAGAGGCCUGCCAAUGCAUGUUCACCAGGUGGAAUAAUUCUGACACGUGGUCCAUCGGCAGUAAAGAGCUAAACUCGAAAAACAGUGUUGGCUGGUCUUGGUGGCAGAGGGUGGCUGAGAUGGUUUGGAAGGUUGUAAGUGGAAGAGAGACUGGAGGGUGAUUGGGGUGUGGAAGAAGGGAUGUUCCUGGCUCUGUCCAUUCAGAUGCUACGAAAGCAAGAGAUAGACCUGCAGGACCUCCAGGCACACUUCCUAUGUGUGAACUUUUUACGUUGCAGUGCUGGAAAUGUAUUUUCCUUCCUUAUGAUUU
This is a long non-coding RNA of Mustela lutreola (European mink), 1614 nucleotides long. RefSeq lists it as uncharacterized. The transcript has 3 exons. The record is from RefSeq and is a predicted model, not a curated record. NCBI's taxonomy places the organism in Eukaryota, Metazoa, Chordata, Mammalia, Carnivora, Mustelidae.